This 378-nucleotide transfer-messenger RNA is filed under the name Patescibacteria group. RNAcentral describes it as "1-14-0-10-41-10 sp002773695 Standard tmRNA". It matches the Rfam family "transfer-messenger RNA". Rfam says of the family: Bacterial tmRNA, also known as 10Sa RNA or SsrA, is named for its dual tRNA and mRNA-like properties. Its role is to liberate the mRNA from a stalled ribosome. The record is from RNAcentral. RNAcentral also lists the same sequence under 1 other name.
GGGGCUGCCUAGCUUCGACAUUUGUUCCUUGACAUACGUGGCAAGCAACAGCCGCUGCAAGCUGUGAUUGCAGUAAAUACAAAUGCUUACUCGUUUGUAAACAAAGUUAAGUUGGCGUUCUCGCCAGCUUUAGCUCCAGUCGCAGUUUAAUUGUGAUUGGCGAAGUUGAUCUCGACUCCGAUAGAUUUCAACUUCGUAUUAUUUUCGGACGAAACUUGAUUCUUUCGCGAGGUCAAUCUUUCGAAGUUAUUCGCGGAUCGAACUUGAAACGUUUUGUUGGUUUUUUAGUUUUAAGUUCUAAAUCACAAAUCCAACUAAGCUUGUAGAUACGUAUUCAUUGACUUAUGGACGCGGGUGCGAUUCCCGCCAGCUCCAUUC